Molecule: ribosomal RNA, 253 nt
Filed under: uncultured bacterium
Lineage: Bacteria
Description: partial 16S ribosomal RNA
Rfam family: Bacterial small subunit ribosomal RNA
Source: RNAcentral
UACGGGGGGGGCAAGCGUUGUUCGGAAUUACUGGGCGUAAAGGGCUCGUAGGUGGCCAACUAAGUCGGACGUGAAAUCCCUCGGCUUAACCGGGGAACUGCGUCUGAUACUGGAUGGCUUGAGUUCGGGAGAGGGAUGCGGAAUUCCAGGUGUAGCGGUGAAAUGCGUAGAGAUCCGGAGGAACACCGAAGGCGAAGGCAGUGUCCUGGCGAGUGACUGACGCUGAGGUGCGAAAGCCAGGGGAGCGAACGGG